CCCAACGGCCGGCCCCGCGCGGCGCUGAGGGAACCGGCGGCGGCACCCCCGCUUGGGUAACCCCCCCACCGCCCUGCCGGGAUUCGGGCGCUGCCCGUUCCGUCAGCUAGGGCCUCUGCGGCCGCCCUGCAGGGAUAUUAGACCUCCCCAGCCUCCCACCGGAGGCCCCACAGAGCUCCCUCGCCGGUAGCGCGGGAGGAAAGUGGUGUUGGCCCGCAGCCGGGGGGUACCGGCUGUGAAGGAGCUUUCCACCCGGCACGGAGAGGCAGAACGGGGUAACAGCACAGCAAUGUGUGUGGUACCUGGGCAGGAAAACGAGCAGGGGGUUAUUAAGUGAUUGUACACAUUCCGGCGGUGCCCCAGAUGGCCAAAUUGCUAGUUACUGAGAGCCUCUAAUUACAAAAGUACAGAGCGAGGGACGUAAAGAGGGCAAUGAUUGGCAAGCCAUGUGUAGACGUGGUGCACAAUGCUUUUUUGUGCAGUAUAAAGAAAAAAAUAGGUUUAGGAGAUUUGGUAGGCAACAGAGAGUAAACAGAAAUAGAAGAUGUAAAAGUAAUAAGGAUAUUGGGUAAUGCCAGUAACAAGCAAGAUUAGCUAGGGAUGUAAUGAAAGCUCGGCUUGGGCAGAAUUACUGAAGUUUUUACGGCUGUUGAUGUAACUGACAUUUCAGACAAAAUAUACCCAGAGAAGUAGCAUUUUCAAUGAAAUCAAAUGACAUGAAAACCGUACUGUUUCACCACUUGGCAUUGAACAGGAUAAACUAUGUUUAGAUCUGUGCAAGCACAGAACAAGAAGCGACAAGACAUGCUGAGGACCAAACAGAAUUACAGACCGUGCAGGAGCUGGGAAUUUCCUGGCUGAAGAAGCUCUAACAACACUUUCCAAUACAUGGACCAGCCAGAAAAACUGAGAAAAGUACCCAAGUACUGGUGGUGCUGGAGCUGUGCUCUUCAAUUUCGCACUGUAACAGGAGCAGUGAUUUAACUCCAGUCUUGCCACACAGGCAGGUUUCAUUCCAACCAGCCUCAAUUCGCAGGCUCUCAGGACACCGAGUGGACUGUGGGCAGGUACCUGCCCUUUGGUGAUCGAUGGCUGCACCUUCUCAAGGGCUCAAGGGGCCCACCGCUCAUUCGUGCUAUUUCAGCCCCUGGCUUACCCCUCACACCACACCCCAGGUCAGGCCAACACAACCCAGACCCAUCUAAUUGCACGCUAACUGGAAUUCUAUGUUUUCCAACCUGUCAAAUGUACAACUUGGUGUGUAUUCUUAGCAUUCAUGCAGAGCAAGUUUAUGGUUUGUGAAGGACCAUGACAGCCAUUUAGUUUUUGUAUAGAAGGCACCUUGACUGGUCCCCAACUGGAAAACCAAAAACCCUCAGCCAACGUUUAUGAUUGUGCCCUUGGUGUUUCCAUCACAGAAAUGUGAUCAGAUUCACGGCGCAAAGAUCAAAUUUUUCGAACUGCAUACAUCUACUACAUACAGAUGCCAAUGACUAUAUGAGGCAGGAGUCUGGGCUGAAUCAAAUCCUCUGCUGUCUGAUUUAUCACCACCUCCUGUGUUUAUACAUAACUCUGGAAAUUUAGACGAACUCCAAGAUACUUAGAGAGUCAGAGAAAAUACAUACAGAUAUGCAUACGGAUACUUUUCUAUGUCUACAGAUCUUGACAAAGAUUGUCACACCUUUGUCUCUAGUGUGGUCCUUCUCAAAAAUCUGGAAAGGGAUGACUUCAGUUCUCAAAGAUAAACAAAGUUCAUUACAGCUACUAAAUCAUUACUGGCACAAUGAAGUAGAUACAAACCACCUAAGAGAAGCACAAGAAGCAUUAGAUUCAUCUAUUCUACAUGACCGCCAUCUAUACCUGGAAAAGCAGACUAUUUGAAAGCUUACUGCUGUGUCUUUCUGUUAUUCACCUAGCUUGUUUAACACUCAUGUUUGCACAGCGCUAAGAGCUGUGCAAGGGAACAGUACCCAAGCACUCACCAGGAGACUGGCUGUGGCUCACAAAGGCCACCAGAACAAUCCAUCCCUCCUGCAAGUGGCUCAGAGCAAUUCCUUUUCCUCCAAAUAAUCCAGCGAACACAAGGACUCCUAAGAACUUAUGAAUCUAUACGCAUAGAAAUCAAACUUACUGCCUCUGUACAGGGACUGCAAGAAACAAUGUGAAUCAUCAGCAAGAAAAGGUGGGCCCUACUGAUAUAAAGGAUGUUUUCAUAGCCUUAAGUAGCGAAGGUAUCGUUCAGUAAUAGGCUAGAGGUGGGGAAAAGACUCUUGGAGACAAAAGUGAAACAAUACUUUGGUAUUAAGUUUGCCAAAUAUAAAUGAACACAGAUGUUUGACAAAGGAUAGUAUCAUAAAAAUGCACAAAUGGGAAUUAUUUAUAUAAACUGACAUCAAAUAAGUCAUGGGAAAAUUGCUAUAAUGAAAAGGAAGGUCUUUGUUUUGAAAUAAGACCUCCCUGAGUUAAGGGUUUCAUCUCUUAUAACCCAGAAUUGCCUUUACUCGUCCAUUGUUUUUGCAGAAACCCAACUGCUGAAUAUUAAUUUCUCUGUAAUAGCAGACUAAGUAUGACCAGAUUUCAACAGUGAAAGACCUAAAGGAAUAAUUAACGAACAAUGGGUUCUUAUAUUACAAGGAAACAAUUACCCACAUUAUCACUGGAUUUGCAGAAUUUUCUGACAAACCAGAGCUCUUUGCUUGAGCAGGGAGGCACAAAGCGCAUGAUACAAUCAGUUUUCCCAGUUCUACAGUUACUGAAGUUGGCACUGCAGUGACUUGGUGGGUUCUCUAACUCGUGUGGGUAAGGGGCAUCCACCAGAGAAGAAGAGAUGGAUUACAGCAUGCUUCAGCAACACUUUCUCUUGUCCCUUUCAGGUAUCAAGGAAGACACAACAGAAAUGGAAUCUGCAGCUGCUAAUACGUCCUCCGUAUAAAUGCUUGAUGGAACUAUUUGUCCUAAUCUGGUAUAAAGCCACCACAACAAAUAAGAAAGUGCAGGCUGGAGGAGAGAAACUGAAUCCUUACAGAAUCAAUGCAUUCGUGUGCAGGUUUCUUACAAAGCCAGGUAUUUUUUCCCUUGAAUAAAUUCAAGUGUUUAAAGCAGGUUUCAUCUGAGUAAUAUUCCAGCCACCACAAACACUGGAAGAAAGGCAUUCUUUAAACUACCUGAAAAAGUGUAGCAACGAUUCAGUUAUGCUUAUCCAUUCAUUUUAUAAAAACAACAUGUUGAAAACAUCAUUUAAAGAACUUCUAUUAUUCUUAUUAUAUAUUAGAAUUAGAAAGUUAAUGAAAUAGAAA
Cygnus olor (mute swan) is the source of this 3296-nucleotide long non-coding RNA. RefSeq lists it as uncharacterized. NCBI's taxonomy places the organism in Eukaryota, Metazoa, Chordata, Aves, Anseriformes, Anatidae. The transcript is spliced from 4 exons. The record is from RefSeq and is a predicted model, not a curated record.